Molecule: long non-coding RNA, 838 nt
Filed under: Ananas comosus (pineapple)
Lineage: Eukaryota; Viridiplantae; Streptophyta; Magnoliopsida; Poales; Bromeliaceae
Description: long non-coding RNA (ACOM_LNC040479)
Source: RNAcentral
GAUUUAUCAAAUCUAGGCAAAUAACUCAGUUAUUUCUAAACCAAACUAUAUCUCUACUAAAAAAACCUUCGUAGUACUGAUCGUUCCUAGCGCAAGUGACAAAGAAUUUGAUGGUUGCUAUUCGAGAUCCCAAGUUUCAAUCCUAAUUGAUUUAUAUUUCUAGCUAAUUUUAUUUUUUAAAAAAUAAACGAAGCGGAUAACAUAUUACCUUUCUCUUAAAAAAAAAAAAACCUUUUUAUUAUCCUAGAUGAAAGUCACGCAACCGUGCAACACUAAAAUUAAAAAUAAAAGUAAUAAGUGUUUCUACCAAUUGUGCUAAAAAUGACGCAAUCACUUUGAGCCCACCAGUCUCUUAUUCUAUGUUUCUUUAAAAAAAAAUUUGAAUCGUUAAUUGCACUACUUUUAGGGCAUGUUUGGUUCAUGAUUGAAAUAGAAAUGGGAAAUAGAAUUGAAUUGCUUUGGAAUGAAAAAUAGAAUGACGAAUCAUCCAAAAAUGUUUGGUUCAUUAUUGGAAUGGAAAUCGAAAUGAAAAUUUAAAAUUUUUUAGAGAGGGUUUUGAUUAAGAGAGAGGAAAGUAAUGAAGGAAGAGGAGGUAGGUGUUGAUGAAAGAGGAUUUUGAAUAGUUUACUUCGGAAUGAACUAAUCCGGGAUUCAAAGCCGGAUUGAAUCAUAAAUGGAUUUGGCCAUUCCCAUUCCGGAGUGGAAUGAAAAUUGAAAUUCGAUUCUUAUAAAACAAACGGCAACAAUCGGAAUCAAUAAAAUCCAUUCCGAUUCCAUAGUCUAAAAUAGGUGAACCAAACAUGCCCUUAAUUUUCUUGAGGGAGAUAGGCUAAUAAUU